GUUUUUAUUCUUCAGAAGUUUAUCAAUAUCAGAUGCUCUUUGUUCACUUAAUUCACUACCACGAUCUUUAUCUUCAAUUGUUCUAAAGGAUUCCGGUUUAUUUCGUGGAAUUCAAAUCCGUUUGAUCUUUGCCAUAGUCACCGAACUCUAGCAUCCAAUCGUCUACGUAUUCGUAGAAAAAGUAAAUGUUGUAGAAUUUGACGCUUUAUUGCCUCACAUCCGACUAAAAAAAUGACCAGGGAAACAGAAGGCUGACAGACAUAUUCAUAGAAAAUAUGAAAAAGCCCUGCCUGUUGCCGUGUUGGAACUUGUAUUGACCUGUAUGAGCAUCAUACUGUGCAAAUCACCUAAAGAUGGAGUUGACCAAGUUGCUGACUUUGAGGAGAACUUGAAGAGCAGAAGAUGCAUUCCAUGACUCUUAUAUGAUAUAGAAGACAAAGGAGAGCUCUUGAGAAUGGGAAAAAACCUGCGAGUUUUACAGUCAAUGAACACACCUCACGACACAAGUCCAUCCUGAUUCAGUAAACUGGUAGUCUAUUCUUCUAAGGACACACCAUGACUUAGUUAAGAUUAAGUUUUGGUGUCAGAAGACUAAUGUAACUAAAACAUUGCAAAAUUAACCUGCAAGUGUCUUAUGUGAGCCUACUGAAUAAGGAUUCAUUACUGAACAGUUGAAGGAAAA
This is a long non-coding RNA of Ostrea edulis (European flat oyster), 682 nucleotides long. RefSeq lists it as uncharacterized. NCBI's taxonomy places the organism in Eukaryota, Metazoa, Mollusca, Bivalvia, Ostreida, Ostreidae. The transcript has 3 exons. The record is from RefSeq and is a predicted model, not a curated record.